RNAcentral lists this transfer-messenger RNA (351 nucleotides) under Opitutales. Its description in RNAcentral is "Merdousia sp001917305 Standard tmRNA". It matches the Rfam family "transfer-messenger RNA". From Rfam's summary of the family: Bacterial tmRNA, also known as 10Sa RNA or SsrA, is named for its dual tRNA and mRNA-like properties. Its role is to liberate the mRNA from a stalled ribosome. The record is from RNAcentral. RNAcentral also lists the same sequence under 3 other names. Lineage: Bacteria; Pseudomonadati; Verrucomicrobiota; Opitutia.
GGGGAUGUUCCGGAAUUCGACUUUGGGUCGUAGAUUAUGCCUGCAUGCCGGAGACGACACUUGGCUCCGUAAAAAUGUGUCGCACAAAACAUAAAUGGCGAAGAAUACGCUAUCGCCGCUUAAUUAAGCGGCGCGUCGGCUCUCAGAUUCCCGGUAUGGGAUGCCCGGCGUCGACAUCGGGAACAGGGGCCGCAACUGUUCGGACGGAGUUGCGGCCGCCACAAACCGUCCGGCGCCGGAGCGGAGGAAGUCCCGACCUAACCGCUUCGAAAGACCAAUCGGAGACUAAGCAUGUAGACGGUAUAGCCGAAAGCUCUCAGGACGCGGGUUCGACUCCCGCCAUCUCCACCA